UAUGGAGAAAGAGGAGACGGACGAGAGAGAUGAGAGA
This 37-nucleotide small RNA is filed under the name Arabidopsis thaliana (thale cress). RNAcentral's name for it is "ATSL245740". Lineage: Eukaryota; Viridiplantae; Streptophyta; Magnoliopsida; Brassicales; Brassicaceae. The record is from RNAcentral.